Molecule: long non-coding RNA, 1192 nt
Filed under: Anas platyrhynchos platyrhynchos (common mallard)
Lineage: Eukaryota; Metazoa; Chordata; Aves; Anseriformes; Anatidae
Description: lncRNA (ENSAPLG00000023939.1)
Source: RNAcentral
GGGUGAAAACGUAGGGAAAAAGGGUGAAAAUGGGGGGAAAAGGGGGAGAAAAUGGGGAAAAAGGGGAAAAAAGGGGGGGAAAAUGGGGAUAAAGGGGGGGGGAAAGGGGGAAAAGGGGGGAAAAAAUGGGGGGGAAAAGGUGAAAACGGGUGGGAAAGGGUGAAAAUGGGGGGCAAAGGGUGAAAAUUGGGGGGAAAAAGGUGAAAACCAGUCCCGAGCACCCCGCUGCAGCACCCCAAGCCUGGGGGAGCUGCCCCAAGAGAUCGGGGUCGGCACGGGUCCGGUGGCUCGGCAGCCAGGUGUUUCGGGGAGGUUUUGCCCCAAAGUUGCCCGUUUUUUCUUACAUUUUUGCUCCUCGGAGCGCUGCGAGACGGGCGUGGGGGGCUGCGAGUCGUCCUUGUCGUCCCCCUCCUCCUCGGCCAGGUGGGAGUGAGCGUAGUGGUAGCUCAGCCCCGGGCGGUUCUUGUAGCGCUUCCCGCAGACUGCGGGACACAAACGGGACAUUUUUAACCCCAAAACCCUCGGGUUUCAAGCACGGGAACCCCCCCCCCCCAGGGAAAUUGCUAACGGGGGAAAACUCCGGGUUUUAGGGACAGAAAUCGGUUUUGGGGACGGAGAAAGCGCAGCCGGCACCUGUGGUGAGGUUUUGGGGUCACCCCAAAAUCUUCCCAAUUCUGCCCAUUUUCAGCCCCAUUUGCCCAUUUUCUAUCCCAUUUACCCGUUUUCUUCCCCGUUUGCUUGUUUUCUACACCAUUUUCUGCCUUUUGCCCAUUUUCUGCCCCAUUUCCCCCCCCCCUUUCCCUUGGGAUUUUCCAUCUCAUUUUCUGCCCCAUUUUUUGCCCCGUUUCCCCAUUUUCCCCAUUUUAUCCCCAUUUUUCCCUAUUUCCCCAUUUUCCGACCCAUUUUCUGCCCCAUUUACCAGGGGGCAAUCCCCAAACACCUCCCCCACACCCUCAGGUCCCCACAUUUUCCGUGCAUUUUGCCACAUUUUUUUUCCACCGAGUGGGGGACAAAAUCUCCUCCCCCCCGGGGAGGGUUUUUAAAUCUCAAUUUUUCCCAUUUUUCCCCUUUUUUCAAUAAAAGCAGGCACCGAAAACACCAAACCAUUCCGACCCUUUUUUGUUGUUUUUUUUCCCAACCGAGUGCUCUCGAACCCCCUAGGGAGGGUUUGAAAUCCCAAUUUUGGUGUUAA